Molecule: ribosomal RNA, 354 nt
Filed under: uncultured bacterium
Lineage: Bacteria
Description: partial 16S ribosomal RNA
Rfam family: Bacterial small subunit ribosomal RNA
Source: RNAcentral
CCUACGGGAGGCAGCAGUGGGGGAUAUUGCACAAUGGGGGGAACCCUGAUGCAGCGACGCCGCGUGGGUGAAGAAGCGCCUCGGCGCGUAAAGCCCUGUCAGCAGGGAAGAAAAUGACGGUACCUGAAGAAGAAGCCCCGGCUAACUACGUGCCAGCAGCCGCGGUAAUACGUAGGGGGCAAGCGUUAUCCGGAUUUACUGGGUGUAAAGGGGGCGCAGGCGGCGGUGUAAGCCAGGGGUGAAAGCCCGGGGCUCAACCACGGGACUGCAUUUGGAACUGCGUGGCUAGAGUGCAGGAGGGGUAGGGGGAAUUCUUGGUGUAGGGGGAAAAUGCGGAGAUAUGAGGAGGAAGAC